RNAcentral lists this ribosomal RNA (151 nucleotides) under Diplacus clivicola. Its description in RNAcentral is "5.8S ribosomal RNA". It matches the Rfam family "5.8S ribosomal RNA". Rfam says of the family: 5.8S ribosomal RNA (5.8S rRNA) is a component of the large subunit of the eukaryotic ribosome. The record is from RNAcentral. Lineage: Eukaryota; Viridiplantae; Streptophyta; Magnoliopsida; Lamiales; Phrymaceae.
UAACGACUCUCGGCAACGGAUAUCUCGGCUCUCGCAUCGAUGAAGAANGUAGCGAAAUGCGAUACUUGGUGUGAAUUGCAGAAUCCCGUGAACCAUCGAGUCUUUGAACGCAAGUUGCGCCCGAAGCCAUUAGGCCGAGGGCACAUCUGCC